GGGCGCUUGGUCUAGGGGUAUGAUCUUCGUUUCGCACCAACUGCUACUUACGAAAGGUCGUGGGUUCAAUUCCCACAGCGUCCA
This 84-nucleotide transfer RNA is filed under the name Blumeria hordei DH14. Its description in RNAcentral is "tRNA-Ala for anticodon CGC". It matches the Rfam family "tRNA". From Rfam's summary of the family: Transfer RNA (tRNA) molecules are approximately 80 nucleotides in length. The record is from Rfam by way of RNAcentral. Lineage: Eukaryota; Fungi; Ascomycota; Leotiomycetes; Helotiales; Erysiphaceae.